This 457-nucleotide ribosomal RNA is filed under the name uncultured soil bacterium. RNAcentral's name for it is "bacterial SSU rRNA". It matches the Rfam family "Bacterial small subunit ribosomal RNA", at positions 26 to 477 of the family's 1533-position model. The record is from RNAcentral.
AGAUCGAACGCUAGCGGGAUGCUUUACACAUGCAAGUCGAACGGCAGCGCGGACUUCGGUCUGGCGGCGAGUGGCGAACGGGUGAGUAAUAUAUCGGAACGUGCCCAGUAGCGGGGGAUAACUACGCGAAAGCGUGACUAAUACCGCAUACGCCCUACGGGGGAAAGGGGGGGAUCGCAAGACCUCUCACUAUUGGAGCGGCCGAUAUCAGAUUAGCUAGUUGGUGAGGUAAAGGCUCACCAAGGCGACGAUCUGUAGCUGGUUUGAGAGGACGACCAGCCACACUGGGACUGAGACACGGCCCAGACUCCUACGGGAGGCAGCAGGUGGGGAAUUUGGACAAGUCGGGGGAAACCUGAUACCAGCCAUCCCGCGUGUGCGAGUGAAGGUCGUUUACGGGUUAGUAAGUCUACGUUUUGGACGAGGUAAGAAACGGUACGUACCCGUUAAGUACGGG